CUGCUCAUUAUCAUGUUGUUCCUCUUCACAUAGUAUCGGGUGAUCCUCAACCCGACUUGAUGAUUCUAGUGCUGUACGAUCCCACAUGAACCUAAAUAUGCCACUCGUUAUCCUCUCCAUAACCCAACUUCUUUAUACAGAUAUAAAGAUACCACAAUGUAACAGAAGUUGACCCUGUAAUGAGCAAAGAUGAAUGAAUCUAAACAGAAAAUCAGGAGACAUGCACACACUCCACCUCAGCCACUUACAAUCAUCCCACUUCAUUUAAAACCAAUGAAUAAGUCAACUUAAUUUGCAUAUGAAAUUCAAUGCAAAUACCACGGAAUAUAGAACAAAUAAUGGCCAUUUAUGAUGCAUGUAACAAGGAAAAUAAGAAAUUACCAACAGAACAUCACUUCUUAGCAAGCAAAGCUCCANN
RNAcentral lists this long non-coding RNA (418 nucleotides) under Manihot esculenta (cassava). RNAcentral's name for it is "long non-coding RNA (MESC_LNC000554)". Lineage: Eukaryota; Viridiplantae; Streptophyta; Magnoliopsida; Malpighiales; Euphorbiaceae. The record is from RNAcentral.